UUUGUGUUUGUGGGCAGGAAGGAAACGCCCAUCACCAAGCUUAAGACAGCAGACAAGAAAAGUCCCUCCACCAAAACCCCAAGCAAACUUUACAGUGA
Molecule: long non-coding RNA, 98 nt
Organism: Thalassophryne amazonica
Lineage: Eukaryota; Metazoa; Chordata; Actinopteri; Batrachoidiformes; Batrachoididae
Exons: 3
Source: RefSeq, a predicted model, not a curated record